This 354-nucleotide ribosomal RNA is filed under the name Triticum aestivum (bread wheat). Its description in RNAcentral is "partial small subunit ribosomal RNA". Lineage: Eukaryota; Viridiplantae; Streptophyta; Magnoliopsida; Poales; Poaceae. The record is from RNAcentral.
AUGGGCGACGCUGCGCUGAUGAUUGUGCCAUGCAACGAAAGGAAUAGUUUCAACAACCUGACAGGAGAUACGCUGAAGUUUAAGGCAAACAAACGGACGUACACCGUCAACUGUCACAAGGGGCCUAGAGAGGGUGCAAUGUAUGGGAGUGAGUGGAGGAAGUUUGUUUCAGACAACAAGUUGGGGAAGGGUCAGCUGGUUCUCUUCUACUUGGACCAGCCUUCCCCAAGGGCAGUUGUCUGUGUGAUUCAAUUCGGGAAUGACACUGAAGAUGAAGGAUCCAAGGAUGAUGAUGACUACAUGGAAGUUUCAGAUGAAGAAGACGAGGAUGGAGAAGCCAACAACAAACCAUGA